AAUUUAAAAUGAAAUUAUAUAUCCAUAUAAUUGAUACCACAAAUCAAUAUUUUAAUUAAAUUAUUUAAAU
RNAcentral lists this transfer RNA (70 nucleotides) under Ischyja manlia. Its description in RNAcentral is "tRNA-His". The record is from RNAcentral. Lineage: Eukaryota; Metazoa; Arthropoda; Insecta; Lepidoptera; Erebidae.